This 498-nucleotide ribosomal RNA is filed under the name uncultured bacterium. RNAcentral's name for it is "partial 16S ribosomal RNA". It matches the Rfam family "Bacterial small subunit ribosomal RNA", at positions 29 to 523 of the family's 1533-position model. The record is from RNAcentral.
AUUGAACGCUGGCGGCAUGCUUUACACAUGCAAGUCGAACGGUAACAGGCCGCAAGGUGCUGACGGGUGGCGAACGGGUGAGUAAUGCAUCGGAACGUGCCCAGUCGUGGGGGAUAACGCAGCGAAAGCUGUGCUAAUACCGCAUACGAUCUGUGGAUGAAAGCGGGGGACCUUCGGGCCUCGCGCGAUUGGAGCGGCCGAUGUCAGAUUAGGUAGUUGGUGGGGUAAAGGCUCACCAAGCCGACGAGCUGUAGCUGGUCUGAGAGGACGACCAGCCACACUGGGACUGAGACACGGCCCAGACGCCUACGGGAGGCAGCAGUGUGGAAUUUUGGACAAUGGGCGCGAGCCUGAUCCAGCAAUGCCGCGUGCAGGAAGAAGGCCUUCGGGUUGUAAACUGCUUUUGUACGGAGCGAAAAGGCUCCCUCUAAUACAGGGGGCUCAUGACGGUACCGUAAGAAUAAGCACCGGCUAACUACGUGCCAGCAGCCGCCGUAA